GAAGGUUAGUCUUUAGUAAAAGAUGUAGAGUUGUCAGCUCUGAGAGGUUAUUUUACAUAACACCUUCUUA
Molecule: transfer RNA, 70 nt
Filed under: Unio delphinus
Lineage: Eukaryota; Metazoa; Mollusca; Bivalvia; Unionida; Unionidae
Description: tRNA-Asp
Source: RNAcentral